Molecule: ribosomal RNA, 254 nt
Filed under: uncultured bacterium
Lineage: Bacteria
Description: partial 16S ribosomal RNA
Rfam family: Bacterial small subunit ribosomal RNA
Source: RNAcentral
CGGAGGAUCCAAGCGUUAUCCGGAAUCAUUGGGUUUAAAGGGUCCGUAGGCGGUUUUAUAAGUCAGUGGUGAAAUCCGGCAGCUCAACUGUCGAACGGCCAUUGAUACUGUAGAACUUGAAUUAUUGUGAAGUAACUAGAAUAUGUAGUGUAGCGGUGAAAUGCUUAGAUAUUACAUGGAAUACCGAUUGCGAAGGCAGGUUACUAACAAUAUAUUGACGCUGAUGGACGAAAGCGUGGGGAGCGAACAGGAUU